This 253-nucleotide ribosomal RNA is filed under the name uncultured bacterium. RNAcentral's name for it is "partial 16S ribosomal RNA". It matches the Rfam family "Bacterial small subunit ribosomal RNA", at positions 524 to 776 of the family's 1533-position model. The record is from RNAcentral.
UACGUAGGGUGCAAGCGUUAAUCGGAAUUACUGGGCGUAAAGCGUGCGCAGGCGGUUUUGUAAGACCGAUGUGAAAUGCCCGGGCUUAACCUGGGAACUGCAUUUGUGACUGCAAGGCUAGAGUGUGUCAGAGGGGGGUAGAAUUCCACGUGUAGCAGUGAAAUGCGUAGAUAUGUGGAGGAAUACCGAUGGCGAAGGCAGCCCCCUGGGAUAACACUGACGCUCAUGCACGAAAGCGUGGGGAGCAAACAGG